Pangasianodon hypophthalmus (striped catfish) is the source of this 1251-nucleotide long non-coding RNA. RefSeq lists it as uncharacterized. Lineage: Eukaryota; Metazoa; Chordata; Actinopteri; Siluriformes; Pangasiidae. The transcript has 3 exons. The record is from RefSeq and is a predicted model, not a curated record.
AGAGCAUAUUUCCCUCCUCUUCGCUCACUGCACAAAAGUUCAACUGUUUUGAGUUAUUCUUUUCAUUCGCAGGACGAAUUUCAAAAUCCGGACUCAAUCCCGGCUGAUAGUUUCCGUUAGCUACUGAGCUAACAGUCGGUGUCAAGUUUCCAGAAAGUGUUUUAUCCUGGUCAGAGUUGCUGUGGAUCCAGAGCCUAUCCCAGGAACACUGAACAUGAGGCGGGAAUACAUCCUGAAUGGGACACCAGUCAUUCAAAUCGAGAACUGAUUUAAAGUUGCCAGGCCACUUACUGGCAUGUUUUUGGAGGGUUUAGUGGCAACUGGAGGAAACCAACACGCACACGGAGAACUUGGAAACCUUGGGAUCAAACUAUGGAGCACUGAAGCUGUGACACAGCCACCGUGCUGCCCACAGAUUUUUUUUUUCCAUUUUCCCUCACUUGUCUGAUUAAUGAAGUGAUAACAUGGAUUGUUCAAAAAUAAAGUCAAUGACUGAAACAGAACAUUUAAAGAUGAUUGGACAGAGAAGUAGGCAUUUAUUCUCAAUCAUUAAUUUGUCUCAGCUGUUUAGAGUCAGUGGCGUUAGUCAGAAGUGGUGAUUUGAAGCACCAGUGUGAAAAAAACAUAACCACUUAAAUCUGACAUGUCUGAUUUAUAGCCAUGAACUAAUCACUAAUGAUUAAGUGUUAUAAGGUAACUAUAAUAACCAUAAGCAAGGACUAUUUAUGUAGCUGGAACAAGUUGAAUGUCCCUGGUUUAGACUGUAAAUAAUGAUUAUAAGUGCACACUUUUUAUUUUUAUUUUUUUAUUUGAAAGAGUACCUUUCAUUUCUUUGCCGGUGAACUGUGAAACAUUUCUUAUUUUAAUCCCUUCUGUUUGCGCUCACCUCUAAUUGAGUUGAGACUUCAUGUCUCAGUGGAUUAGCAUGGGUGGUGUCAGUCAUGAUUUAGUGAGAACAUUGUUUUGAUCAGUGUGGGAAAUAAAAAUAUUUGCAAAGGAAAGCACCCUGUUAUUACACUUGUCAGUACCGUGUGGGUUAUAAAAACACUGCCCUGUGUUCUAGCCUCCUCUGUUUAGAUAAUUACCAGUUCAGAUUUUCACCUGGGAACCAUGUUUGUAUGUGCGUGUGUCUGCACGCGGGAGGGAAGACGUUACUCGCUAUUACUCAACACAGCCUAGUAUUUCGAAAAUUGUAAAGAAGUGCACAGUCCACAGAAUGUAAGAUAUCUUUCUAAUUAGGGGUUCAAGCAC